This is a long non-coding RNA of Paramisgurnus dabryanus, 590 nucleotides long. RefSeq lists it as uncharacterized. Lineage: Eukaryota; Metazoa; Chordata; Actinopteri; Cypriniformes; Cobitidae. The record is from RefSeq and is a predicted model, not a curated record.
GAGCAAUGUUCGUAAUCAACCUGUCGUAGGUCUCUGGAAGAGGUGUCUGUGGAGGGGAGUGGUCAGCUGCCAGGGAAACAUCCCAGAGAUCCUCAAGUAAAAUUGACGAAGAGGGACUUGAGCUUGCAGUCUGUCGACAUGGGUUUUUUCUUGGUGCUCUCAACAUGUUCAGGGGAGAAAUAUAUGCUUAUCCCCUCUACCUGCAGAACAAGCUGGCAAAUACGCCAAUAAGCUUUUUUGCCAUGGAUGUAACCUGUAAGUACUGGCCCUACCUCAUCAAAGUGACAAAAAGCUGCCCGGAGCUCCAGCACCUUCUGAGCAUGAAACCAUUUCUCUCAGUGUUUCAUGCUAAGGCCCAUGAUUUUAAAUGCGAGGUUAAAUGGAGUGGAGCUUACCAGCAAGGGGCCGGAUUGACACUUGGGGAGGAGGUGGAGCAGUGUAACGCCUUUCUCUCUAGGAUUGCUGUGACCACAAAGCACAUGUCUAAAGCAGGACGUACAGACAUGCUUACACUGAUGGCCAUAGGCUGGAAUCAGCAAAAGUUUAAUAACUUGGCUACUUCACUUGCCUGCCGAUAUCAGAAGGUUGAG